AGUCAAUCAGCGGCAGGUGGAGGCUGGUGUUUCAGCCCACGGGGACCUGCUGCCAGGUGCGGGGAGGCGCUGCCUACCUGACAGCCCCCAAGCCACCUCAGUCUCUCCGAUCCUCAGUCUGUCCAUCUGCAAGUGUUUUUCCAAAAACAGAAGUCCUUCAGCCAAGUCCCCUGGUGCACACUUGUAGUCCCACCUACUCAGGAGGCUGAGGCAGGAAGAUGGCCUGAGGCCAGAAGUUGGAAGCGAGAGUAUGUUAUAACUGGGCCUGUGAAUAGCUGCUGCACUCAAGCCUGGGCAACAUAGCCAGAACCUGUCUCUUAAAAAGAAAAUAAGGCUAGAGUGCAAUGACGUGAUCUCGGCUCACUGCAACCUCCACCUCCUAGGUUCAAGGGAUUCUCCUGCCUCAGCCUCUCAUGUAGCUAGGAUUACAGGCACCCACUACCACCCCUGGCUAAUUAUUUGUAUUUUUAGUGAAGACGGGGUUCUACCAUGUUGGCCAGGCUGGUCUCGAAUUCCUGAUCUCAGGUGAUCCACCCAUCUUGGUCUCCCAAAGUGCUGGGAUUACAGGCAUCAGCCACUGCACCUGGGCUUGUUUUUUUGAAACAGGAUUCUUGCUAUGUUGCCCAGGCUAGAGUACAGUGGUGCUAUCACAGCUCACUGCAGCCUCAACCUCCCGGGCUCAAAUGAUCCUCCCAUUUCAGCCUCUUGAAUAGCUGGGACCACAGGCAUGCGCCACCAUGCCUGGCUAAAUUUUUCAUUAUUUAUAGAGACGAGGUCUCGCUAUAUUGCUCAAGCUGUUCUCAAACUCCUGGGCCCAAGCAGUCCUCCUGCCUCAGCCUCCCAAAAUGUUGUGAUUACAGGCAUGAGCCACUGUGUGAGGUGACUACAAAUUUAUUGUCUUUAAUACAGGGAUUUUCAGGUUUAAAUUUCUUAUUGGUAGUUGUGUCAUCAAGAAAUUUGCCUAUUUAAUUUAUAUGGGCAUAAAGUUGUUCAUAAAAUCCCUGUAUUAUUCUUUUACUAUCUAUAAAAUUUGUAGUGAUGUCACCUUUCAUUCCUGAUAUUGGUCAUUUGUAUAUCCUUUCUCUCUCUCUCUCUCUCUCUCUCUGUCUCUUUCUCUCUGUUAAUCUGGCUAAAGUUUAAUCAACUUCAUUGAUCUCAAAAAAGAUCUCCACUGAUUUUCUGUGUUCUAUUUCCUUGAUUUCUACUCCAAUCUUUAUUAUUUUUCUUCCUUCUAUUUACUUUGAGUUUCAUUUGCUUGUUUUCCUCUAAAAUUUUUUUGUGUGUGUGUGACAGAGUUUUGCUCUUUUGCCCAGACUGGAGUGAAGUGGCCCGAUCUUGGCUCAGGGCAACCUCCAUCCCCACAGCCCCCUCCCCGGGUUUAAGUGAUUCUUCUGCCUCAGCCUCCCAAGUAGCUGGGAUUAUAAGCACCUGCCACCAUGCCCAGCUAAUUUUUGUAUUUUUAGUAGAGACAGGGUCGGCUAGGUAUGGUGGCUCACGCCUAUAAUCCAAGCACUUUGGAGGCCAAGGCAGGCAGAUCACCUGAGGUUGGGAGUUCAAGACCAGCCUGACCAACAUGGUGAAACCCCGUCUUAUAAAAUAAAUAAAUAAAUAAAAAGAGACAAGUUUUUGCCAUGUUGGCCAGGCUGGUCUUGAACUCAGGUGAUCUACCCACCUCAGCCUCCCAAAUUUCCCCUAAUUUUUAAAGGUAAUAGCUGAGGUCAUUGAUUUAAAACUUUUUCUUCUUUCUAAAAUAGAUGACUACGGCUAUAAAUUUAUCUGUAAAGUACUACUUUAGCUGUAUCCCACAAGUUUUGAUAUAUUGGAUUUGCAUUUUAAUUCAGUUAAAAAUGCCUUUUAAUUCCCCUUUUGCUUUCUCUGUGACUCAUGGGUUAUUUAGAAUUAUACGAUCUAAUUUUCAAAUAUUCAGGGAUUUUCCCAAUUACUUUCUGUUACCAAUUUCCAAUUUCAAUGCAUAUAGCCAGAGAACAAGAUUUAUAUGAAUUGAAUGUCUUCAGGUUUUUGAGACUUGUUUUAUGGCCCAGAAAAUGAUCGAUCUUGGUAAAUGUUCUGUAUUUUGUUUGUUGUUUGGUUGGUUGGUUUUUGGUUUUUGUUUUAAUUUCCAAGACAGAGUCUCUCUCUCUAUCAGUUAGGCUGAAGUUCAGUGGUGCAAUCUCGGCUCACUGAAACCUCUGCCUCAUAGGUUCAAGUGAUUCUCCCACCUCAGCCUCUGGAGAAACUGGGAUUACAGGCAUGCUUCACCAUGCCCACCUAAUUUUGUAUUUUUAGUAGAGACAUUUCACCAUGUUGGCCAGGCUGGUCUCGAACCCCUGACCUCAAGUGAUCCACCCACCUCAGCCUCCCAGAGUGCUGGGAUUAUAGGUGUGAACCACCAUGCCCAACUGUUCUGUGUGCAUUUGUGAAGUGUGUCUUCUCUGCUGUCAUUGGAUGGAAUGCUCUAUAAAUGUCAAUUAGGUCAAGGUGAUUAAUAGUGAUGUUCAGGUAUCCCAUAUCCCUACUGAGUUUCUUUGUACUUGUUCUAUCGUUUAUUGAGAAAGCACAUUUCUGAAUAUAAUUGCAAGUAGUCUAUUUCUCCUUGCAGUUCUAUCAGUUUUGCUUCCUUUUAUUUGGAAGCUCUGUUAUUAAGUACAUGAAUAUUUAGGAUUGUUAUGUCUUCUUGAUCAAAUCACUUCUUUAUCAUUAUGGCAAUGACCUUUAUCCUUCUAAUAAUUUUUGCUCUGAAUAUUUUGUCUAAUACAGCGUUAGCAUGGUAUUUCUUUUCGCCUAUUCUUUUAAUUUUAACCUCUUUGUGUCUUUAUAUUUAAAAUGGGUUUCUUAACAAUCAACAGAAUAAUGAGACAACCAACAGAAUGGAACAAAAAUAUUUGCUAACCAUAUAUCUAACAAGGGGCUAAUAUCCUAAAUAUAUGAGGAACUCAAACAAAUAAAUAAUAAGGAAACAAAGAAACCUGUUAAAACAUAGGCAAAGAACCUAAAUAGAUAUUUCUCAAAAGAAGAUAUGCAAAUGGACAAGAAGUAUAUGAAAAAAACCUCAAUAUCACUAAUCAUCAGGAAAAUGCAAAUUAAAACCACAUUGAGAUAUCCUCUCACACCUGUUAAAAUUGCUAUUGUAAAAAAAAAAAAAGACAAAAGGAUGUGGAGAAAAGAGAACACAUGCACACUGUUAGUAGAAAUCUAAAUUAGUACAACCAUUAUGGAAAACAGUAUGGUGGCUCCUCAAAAAAAUCAAAAUAAAACUACUCCACGAUCCAGCAAUCCUACUACUGGGUAUAUAUUUAAAGGAAAAAUCAGUACAUUGAAGCGAUACUGCACACCCUUGUUCAUUGCAGCACUAUUCACAAUAGCCAAGAUAUAAAAUGCACCUAAGUGUCUAUCAAUGGGUAAGUGGAUUAAGAAAAUUUUGUCUUUUUAUUCAGCCUUAAAAAAGAAGGAAGUCCCAUCAUUUGCAACAACACAGAUAAACCUGGAGAACAUUAUGUUCAGUGAAAUAAGCCAAACACAAAAAGACAAAUGCUGUAUGAUCUCACUAAUAUGUGAAAUCUAAUAAAGUCAGCCUCAUAAAAGUAAAGAGUAAAAUUGUGGUUAUCCAAGGCUGUGGGUAAGGGGAUUGGGGAGAUGUUGGUCAAAGGAUAUAAAAUGGCAGUUAGGCAGGGAGAAUUGUUCCAGAAAUCUAUUCUAUAUCAUGGUGACAAUAGUUAAUAACAAUGUAUUAUAUACAGGCAUACCUUCAAGAUAUUGCAAAUAUCAUGGCAAAGUAAGUUACACAAACUUUUUGGUUUCCCAGUGUACAUAAAAAUUAUGCUUAUACUAGAAUGUAGUCUAUUAAGUUUGCAAUAGCAUUAUGUCUAAAAAAGGUACAUACCGUAGUUUGAAAAUGCUUCACGCCUAAAAAAUGCUAACCAUCAUCUGAGCCUGCAGCAAGUCAUCAUCUUUUUGCUGGUUCAGAGUUAUGCUUCAGUGUUGAUGGCUGCCGCCUGAUCAGGAUGGUGGUUGCUGAAGGCCAGUGUGGCUGUGGCAAUUUCUUAAAAUAAGACAACAGUGAAGUUUACUACAUCCAUCAACUCUUCCUUUCGUGAAAGAUUUCCCUGUAGUGUGCAAUGCUGUUUGAUAGCAUAUUACCUACAGUAGAACUUGUUUCAAAAUUGAGUCAGUCCUCUCAAAUCUUUCAAAAUUGAGUCCGUCCUCUCAAAUCCUGCUGCUACUUUGUUAAUUAAGCUUACAGAAUAUUCUAAAUCCUUUGCUGUCAUUUCUACAAAGCUUAUAGGCAUCUUUAUCAGGAGUAGAUUCCAUCACAAGAAACCACUUGCUUUACUCAACCAUAAAAAGUAACUUCUCAUCAGUUUAGGUUUUUAUCAAGAGACUAUAACAAUUCAGUCACAUCUUCAGGCUCUAGUUAUUCUAGUUCUAGUACCACAUUUCCAGUUACUUCCACUGAGGUUGUGAGCCCCUCAAAGUCAUCCAUGAGGGCUGGAAUAAACUUCUUCCCACUCCUGUUGAUGUUGAUAUUUUGACCUUCUCCAGUGAAUUGCAGAUGUUGUUAAUGGCUUUUCAAAUGGUGAAUCCUCUCCAGAAGGCUUUCCAUUUCCUUUCUCAGAUCCAGAUCUAUCAGAGGUAUCAUUACAUAUGGCUUCCAUAGUCUUACAAAAUGUACUUCUUAAAUGAUGUGACUUGAAAAUUGAAAUUACUCUUUGAUCUACAGACUACAGAAUGGAUGUUAUGUUAGUGGGCAUGUAAACAACAUUAAUUUCUUUACACAUCUCCAUCAGAGCUCUUGGGUGAACAGGUAUUUUGUCAACAAGCAGUAAUAUAUUGAAAGGAUUUUUUUUUGAGCAGUAGAUCUCAACAGUGAGCUUAAAAUAUUUAAUCAACCAUGCUGUCAAUAGAUGUGCUGUUAUCCAGGUUUUGUUGUUCCAUGUAUAGAGCACAGGCAGAGUAGAUUUAGCAUCAUUCUUAAGGGGCCUAGGAUUUUCAGAAUAGUCAGGGAGAAUUGGCUUCAACUUAGAGUCACCAGCUGCAUUACCUUCUAACACGAGAGUCAGUCUGUCCUUUGAAACUUUGAAGCCAGGCAUUGACUUCUUCUCUCUAGCUAUGAAACACCUAGCUAAGAUGGUAUCUUCUUCCAAUAGAAGGCUUUUUCUCUAUACUGAAAAUCUGUUGCUUAGAGUGGCCACUUUCAUCAAUUAAUGAUCUGAACUAGAUCUUCUGGAUAACUUACUACAGCUUCUCCGUUGGCACUUGCUCCUUCACCUUGUACUGUCAUGUUCUGGAGAUGGCUUCUUGGCUUCUUUCUAUAAACCUCAUGAACCAACCUCUGUUGGCUUCCAACUUUUCUUCUGCAGCUUCCUCACCUCCUUCAGCCUUCACUGAAUUGAAGAAAGUUAUUGCCUUGCUCUAGAUUGGGUUUUGGUUUAAGGGAACGUUGUGGCUGGUUUGAUCUUUCAUUCAGACCAUUGAUACUUUCUCCAGAUCAGUGAUAAGGCUGUUUUGCUUUCUGAUUAUUCAUGUGUUCACUGGAGUAGCACUUUAAAAUUCCUUUAAGGACUUCUCCUUGACCAGGUGCAGUGGCUCAUACUGUAAUCCCAGGACUAGGGAGACCAAGGCAAGAAGAUCACUUGAGGCCAGGAGUUCAAGACCAGCCUGGGCCAGCCUGGGCAACAUAAUAAGAGUCUCUCUCUACAAAAAAAAACUUUAAAAAUUAGCUAGGCACAGUGGCAUGGGUCACGUAAUUCCAGGUACUUGGAAGGCUGAGACCGGAGGAUCACUUGAGCCCAGAAGUUUGAGGUUACAAUGAACUAUGAUUGUGUCUUGUCCUUUAGCCUGGGAGACAUACCUUUCAGCCUAUCUCAGUUUUGGACAUGUUUUCCUCACUAAGCUCAAUCAUCUCCAGCUUUUGAUUUAAAGUGAGAGACAUGUAACUAUUCCUUUUAUUUGAACACUUAGAGACCACUAUAGAAUUUUAUCUAUUUUGUUUAUUUUUUUGAGAUAGAGUCUCACUCUAUCACCUGGGCUCCAGUGCAGUGGCGCAAUCUCAGCUGACUACAACCUCCACCUCCCAGGUUCAUGUGAUUCUCCUGCCUCAGCCUCCCGAGUAGCUGGGAUUACAGGCACAUGCCACCAUGCCCAGCUAUUUUUGUAUUUUUCAGUAGAGAUGGGGUUUCACCGUGUUGGCCAAGCUGGUCUCAAACUCCUGACCGCAGGUGAUCCCCGCAACCUCGGCCUCCCAAAGUGCUGGGAUUACAGGCAUGAGGCACUGCACCCAGCCACACUAUAGGAUUAUUAAUUGGCCUAAUUUUAAUAUUGUGUCUUGUGGAAUACAUAGGCCCAAGGAGAAGAAGAAAAACAGAGAACAGCUAGUUGAUGGGGUAGUCAGAGCACACACAUUUAAGAUUGCCACUUUGUAUGGGCAUGGUUCAUGGUACCUCAAAAGAAUUACAAUUGUCACAUCAAAGAUCACUAACCACAGCUAUAUUAUAACAGAUGUUAUAACAAUUUAAAAGUUUGAAAUAUAGCAAGAAUUACCAAAAUGUGACACAGAAACAUAAAGUGAGCACAUGCAAUUGGAAGAAAGGCACCCAUAGGCUUGCUUGGUAUAAGGUUGCCACAAAACGUCAAUUUGAAAAAAACCUCAAGAUCUGCAAAGUGCAAUUUUAAAAAGCACAAUAGGCCAGGCGUGGUGGCUCACUCACACCUGUAAUCCCAACACUUUGAGAGGUGAAGGCAGCCAGAUCACUUGAGGUCAGGAGUUCGAGACAGCCUGGCCAACAUGGCAAAAAACCCUUUCUCCUAACACUACAGAAAUUAGCUAGACAUGAUAGUGGGUGCCUGUACUCCCAGUUACUUGGCUACGGCAGGAGAAUUGCUUGAACCCAGGAGGUGGAGGUUGUAGUACACUGAGAUUGCACCACUGCACUGCAGCCUGGGUGACAGAGCAAGACGGUCUCAAAAACAACCCAAAAAACAAAAAAUAACAAUAAAAUAAGAUAUACCUGAACUUAAAAAUUGCUAAGAGAAUAGAUUUUAAGUGUUCUCACCAAAAAAAGCAUUCACAUGCAUCUAUUAAUUAAUGCAUCUAUUAAUUCAUUUGAUUUAGUCAUUUCACAAUGUAUACAUAUUUCCAAAUAUCUUGUACACCAUAAAUAUAUAUAAUUUUCAUUUGUCAAUUUAAAAAAUGCUCCCCCCUUCCACAAAAAGGUGGUUUCUUUAAGUCAACAUAUUAUUGGGUCUUACUUUGAUUUUCAAUCUGACAAUCUUUGUUUUGUCAAUUGGGUUAGACAAGUUAUAAUUUAUGUGAUUAUGAAUAUCGGGGUUAAAUCUAACAUUGCACUACUUUGUUUCCUAAUUGUUCUCAUCUGUUCUUUGUUUCCUCUCUUCUCUCUUUCUGCUUUAAUUAAUUGGUAUAUACUGUAUGAUUGUUUUAUAUACAUUGUUGGUGUUUCAGCUAUAUUAUUUGUUGUGUUAUUUUACCUCUACAACAAUUUAAGUAUCUGCCUUAACUUGGGUACUAAACUACACUGUAAGUUCUUUUGAGGCAGAAUAGGGUCUGGAGGCAGGGAAUCUAAGAUGGAUUUGCAGUGACUUCCUAGAACUGAAUCAAAAGGGAAAGUCCCACCUCUCCACACCCAAGUAACAAAAGGAUCAGAGGCUACUCCAUUUGCACAACCCCCUUUUCUGCAUUGCAGAUGAAAAAUGAAAGUACCGGUGAUUGGACCCCUCCUACAACCAAUCAGCAAUCAGACUGGUGGCAGGCCAAGUCUUCAUGUGUAACUUUGUAACUUCACCUCAGCCUCUGAUUGGCCACCUUCUGCAACCAAUCAGACUGAUUGUAGGCCAGUAUUUCAUUUACAUAGGGUGUAAACCAAGUAACCAAUGGGAAACCUCUGGAGGGUAUUUAAACCCUGGAAAUGUCUGUAACCAGCACUCUUGAGCUGCUUGCUCAAGCCUGUCUCAGUAUGUGGAGUGUACUUUCAUUUCAAUAAAUCUGUACUUUCCUUGCUUCAUUUUUUC
This is a long non-coding RNA of Callithrix jacchus (white-tufted-ear marmoset), 8022 nucleotides long. RefSeq lists it as uncharacterized. Lineage: Eukaryota; Metazoa; Chordata; Mammalia; Primates; Cebidae. The record is from RefSeq and is a predicted model, not a curated record.